Molecule: ribosomal RNA, 701 nt
Filed under: uncultured Bacteroidota bacterium
Lineage: Bacteria; Pseudomonadati; Bacteroidota
Description: bacterial SSU rRNA
Rfam family: Bacterial small subunit ribosomal RNA
Source: RNAcentral
GUUAGUGGCGGACGGGUGAGUAACGCGUGAGAAUCUGCCCUCAGGAGGGGGAUAACGGCUGGAAACGGCCGCUAAUACCCCAUAUGCCGAGAGGUGAAAUGAAUUUCGCCUGAGGAUGAGCUCGCGUCUGAUUAGCUAGUUGGUGGGGUAAGAGCCUACCAAGGCUUCGAUCAGUAGCUGGUCUGAGAGGAUGAUCAGCCACACUGGGACUGAGACACGGCCCAGACUCCUACGGGAGGCAGCAGUGGGGAAUUUUCCGCAAUGGGCGAAAGCCUGACGGAGCAACGCCGCGUGAGGGAUGAAGGCCUCUGGGCUGUAAACCUCCUUUAUCAAGGAAGAAGAUCUGACGGUACUUGAUGAAUAAGCCACGGCUAAUUCCGUGCCAGCAGCCGCGGUAAUACGGGAGUGGCAAGCGUUAUCCGGAAUUAUUGGGCGUAAAGCGUCCGCAGGCGGCCUCGUAAGUCUGUCGUUAAAGCGUGGAGCUUAACUCCAUUUCGGCGAUGGAAACUGUGAGGCUUGAGUGUGGUAGGGGCAGAGGGAAUUCCCGGUGUAGCGGUGAAAUGCGUAGAUAUCGGGAAGAACACCAGUGGCGAAGGCGCUCUGCUGGGCCAUAACUGACGCUCAUGGACGAAAGCCAGGGGAGCGAAAGGGAUUAGAUACCCCUGUAGUCCUGGCCGUAAACGAUGAACACUAGGUGUCGG